RNAcentral lists this ribosomal RNA (858 nucleotides) under uncultured bacterium. Its description in RNAcentral is "bacterial SSU rRNA". It matches the Rfam family "Bacterial small subunit ribosomal RNA", at positions 524 to 1381 of the family's 1533-position model. The record is from RNAcentral.
UACGUAGGGUGCGAGCGUUAAUCGGAAUUACUGGGCGUAAAGCGUGCGCAGGCGGUUUGUUAAGUCAGAUGUGAAAGCCCCGAGCUUAACUUGGGAACUGCGUUUGAGACUGGCAAGCUAGAGUCUGUCAGAGGGGGGUAGAAUUCCACGUGUAGCAGUGAAAUGCGUAGAGAUGUGGAGGAAUACCAAUGGCGAAGGCAGCCCCCUGGGAUAAGACUGACGCUCAUGCACGAAAGCGUGGGGAGCAAACAGGAUUAGAUACCCUGGUAGUCCACGCCCUAAACGAUGUCAACUGGUUGUUGGGCAACUUGAUUGUUCAGUAACGAAGCUAACGCGAGAAGUUGACCGCCUGGGGAGUACGGUCGCAAGGUUAAAACUCAAAGGAAUUGACGGGGACCCGCACAAGCGGUGGAUGAUGUGGAUUAAUUCGAUGCAACGCGAAAAACCUUACCUACCCUUGACAUGUACGGAAGUCUGCUGAGAGGUGGAUGUGCCUGAAAGGGAACCGUAACACAGGUGCUGCAUGGCUGUCGUUAGCUCGUGUCGUGAGAUGUUGGGUUAAGUCCCGCAACGAGCGCAACCCUUGCUAUUAAUUGCCAUCAUUGAGUUGGGCACUUUAAUAGGACUGCUGGUGAUAAACCGGAGGAAGGUGGGGAUGACGUCAAGUCCUCAUGGCCCUUAUGGGUAGGGCUUCACACGUCAUACAAUGGCCGGUACAGAGGGAUGCCAACCCGCGAGGGGGAGCCAAUCUCAGAAAGCCGGUCGUAGUCCGGAUUGUUCUCUGCAACUCGAGAGCAUGAAGUCGGAAUCGCUAGUAAUCGCGGAUCAGCAUGUCGCGGUGAAUACGUUCCCGGGUCU